Molecule: transfer RNA, 84 nt
Filed under: Lachnospiraceae bacterium
Lineage: Bacteria; Bacillati; Bacillota; Clostridia; Lachnospirales; Lachnospiraceae
Description: tRNA-Leu
Rfam family: tRNA
About the family: Transfer RNA (tRNA) molecules are approximately 80 nucleotides in length.
Source: RNAcentral
GCGGAAGUGCUGGAACUGGCAGACAGGCUAGACUAAGGAUCUAGUGAUAGCAAUAUCGUGAGGGUUCAAGUCCCUUCUUCCGCA